Molecule: long non-coding RNA, 197 nt
Organism: Zophobas morio
Lineage: Eukaryota; Metazoa; Arthropoda; Insecta; Coleoptera; Tenebrionidae
Exons: 2
Source: RefSeq, a predicted model, not a curated record
CUCGUAAAGCAAUAUACCCAUAGACGCCAUGAGCAGAUAUGGGCGACGUUGAGCAGCUGUCGGCAUAGUAGAGCUUGGACAAACUGCGUAAACUGGUAGGAUUCCUUACGGGACAUUACCAGUUUAACAAACAUCUACAUACGAUAGGGGUAGUAACAGACCCAAUCUGUCGUGGAUGCAAUGAAGAAGAGGAAACA